RNAcentral lists this unclassified non-coding RNA (261 nucleotides) under uncultured fungus. Its description in RNAcentral is "partial contains 5.8S ribosomal RNA, internal transcribed spacer 2, and large subunit ribosomal RNA". The record is from RNAcentral. Lineage: Eukaryota; Fungi.
AACGCACAUUGCGCCCCUCGGUUCCCGAGGGGCACGCCUGUCCGAGCGCCAUCGGAGAAACCUCGAGCCGCGUGCUCGCAGUUGGACGGCGCCCCCCCUUCCGCGGGGGGCCCGCCCGGAAACCUUCGGCGCCCCGCCGGGCCCCGAGCGCACCGAGCCCACCAGCCCGCGCGCGAGGCCCCGGCCGGCGGCCGCCCCGACCCGCCGCACGGCGACCCCAAGGAAGGCCUCGGAUCAGGCGGGGUUACCCGCUGAACUUAA